GAUGAGGGGGAUCCAAUCAUAUAUACUGGUUUUGUGUGGCUAAUGAUAUAAACAUCCAGAUGAGUUCCCAAACUGGUGAUGGUUAGGUCACAAGUCUUUAGAGCAGUCCAGCCAGUGUUGUGCGCUGAGUGUGUUUCCCAAUGUUCAGGAAUUGAAGCUCUCAAUCCCUGGCAUGUCUGAGUAAGACUAUGGCUGAGGAUUGGGUUUUUAAGUGGUGACUAAGUUUAAAUGAAUUGAUAUUGAUAUGGGUGGUAUAUUUCUAAGAAGGUGGAAGCUACGGAGGUGGCUCAGUGGGUAAAGUUACAUGCCACCAACACUGAAGACCCAAGUUCAAUUCCAAGGACCUAUGUGUAGAAGGGGAAAAACCAAACUCCUAUAAAUUGUGCUUUAACCAUCACAUGUGUGUCAUGGAACUCAUGUAUAUACACACAUAACACACUACAUAUACACACACAUGUGUGGGUGUGUGCAUGCACACAGACACAUACAUACAUUUAUAUACAUGCAUACACACACCACAUUACACACAUAAAUAAAUUAACAAAGAUGCCAUAAACGUUUUCAAAGAAGAAGAAACCAGGAUCUGAGUGCCAAGUGGCAGCCAUGUGAAGACAACCAUCUGGCCAACUGAGCUUAGGCUCUUCACUUAGAGAAAAUUACUAAAAUAAAUAGUGGUUGUUUGAGCCAGCCGAUGCUUUGUUACAGUCCUGUGCCAGCAAAUUCAUCACUGACCAGAUGCUGCCUGUAGGAGCAGAGGUAAAAGGACAGUGUGGUUGACUAUACGUUAGAUUACCUGAAACAGAGGAACAUGUAGCCUCUUCCUUUGUACCACCAAAGAAAAUAAGUGAAUAGGGUUACGAAUGCAGAAUUGAUGCGGGAAGCUGGUUGUCCACUAAAGAGCCCCCUGACAGACGUUGUAAUUACUAUCGAGCAUUCACUGAGACUAAAAGAAUUAAAUAUCUGUCAUUGUGCUAUGCUAAGAAUUCCAGAUAGAAAUACAACACACCACAUUGCUGGUCUCAUGGAACUUAAAUUAAAAAGUAUCCUAAUAAGUAGCCAGUCUUUAAUUGCACAUCAGCUCUCUCUGGGAACAAUGUGCUUUGAUAAUAUAGAAAAAUGUAACAGAGAGGAGAGAGAAAAUGCUAGUCUUUGUCUUUGAGGAACAGUAGUGGUAAAAGCUAAGGAAGAAUUCUCAAAGAUGAUUAUUAUAUUCACAUACGGAUUUUAAAAUGUUGAUGUUUCUCAUCUCGCUUCCCCCUGCCACCAUGUAUAAUAUCUCUUUCCCUUAUCUCCUUGGCAAGAGGAUGGAGGUACUGAAGUUGGGGGUGUGCCAGAACUAAAGGAUGCUUGGGAAUGCCAUGAGGGAGUGACAAGAAAAUGGUGGGAAAGAUAAUAUAUGAAAUAAAAUUCAAAAUUUACAGUCUUGACCUAUUUUGCAAUCAUGGAGUCUAUAUUUUCUGUGUUGCUUCAAGUUUUUAAAAUCAGUAUGUAUUGGUUUCAUAAUUAUGAAGAAAGAGGUAAAAGAAAGUCACAUUAAUGUAUAUAAUGUUUUUCCAGUUUAAUGGACUCCCACAUAAUGCACUUUAAUUUUUUAAAUAAGCUUGAAAAUAAAACACAAGAUUAUUCUGCAAUUUAAUUAUUAACCAUAGUUUAGAAGAAAGGUAAAUCCUUGGGUCAAAGAUGGACUGUGGUUUGAAAUAUAGCUUGUGGUAGCAUAAAAUCUGCCACAAAAUAGAUAGUUUAUUGGACCAUACAAAUGGAAAAAAGAAACUAUAAUUACUUAGGUCCUUCACAAUGAGUCUUAAAGAUACAGGAAAUCACUAUGCAAGAUUCUUGGCAAAGGAAGUGGCUCUUAACUUUGCUCUCUGCUAUUGUUUUAUCUUAUUCCUUUCACAAAAGUGGAGAAAGUUUUUGUUUAGCAGUUUUGUUGGCAACAUCUCAUACAUAAGUAAUUUGCCAUUGUUAACGAAUGUUGGAACAGAACACCAUCAAUUAAGGUUUUAAACGGUUAUCAAACAUGACAAGGGAUUUUGCAUGAACUCUGAGGUGAAGGAUGUAGCAUGAGGAAAACAUCACUGGUGCUGAGAAACACCCUAAACAGACAGGAAACUUCCCAAUGAGUUUCCUCUGUAAGGUGACGUACAUACCUGACUCUGGUAUUGGGCUAUGGCUACAGGUAGAGAUAUACAACUUUCUCCCAGGACUCUGGGAUAUUAGGAGGACUCAAAGAAAUCCCAAUAGCUUUGAGAAGGAGUCUGAUGCCAAAACAGGUUUCCAUUUUCAGGCUCUCCUUUUAGUGGGUGUUUAUUGACAUGCCAUGCAACGCAUCUACCUCCUAUGGCACUGUCUUCUCUGCUAUC
Molecule: long non-coding RNA, 2360 nt
Filed under: Mus musculus (house mouse)
Lineage: Eukaryota; Metazoa; Chordata; Mammalia; Rodentia; Muridae
Description: long non-coding RNA chr19:48811135-48813495
Source: RNAcentral